GCCCUGGUAGCCCAACUGGCAGAGGCAACGGACUCAAACUCCGACCAGUGUGGGUUCGACUCCCACCCAGGGCACAA
Molecule: transfer RNA, 77 nt
Filed under: Corynebacterium bovis
Lineage: Bacteria; Bacillati; Actinomycetota; Actinomycetes; Mycobacteriales; Corynebacteriaceae
Description: tRNA-Leu
Rfam family: tRNA
About the family: Transfer RNA (tRNA) molecules are approximately 80 nucleotides in length. Their secondary structure includes four short double-helical elements and three loops (D, anti-codon, and T loops).
Source: RNAcentral